CGGCAGACAUGUUGCAGCUGAUUGAAUCAUGCUGGAGUGAAACCAAGUCUUCUGUGAUACAAGAUCAGAGGAGUGAGCCAAGCCUUGGGCUGCCAAUGGAGGAUGUGAAGUCAAGCCAGGGAGCCAAGGCCACUGUCAGCUCUCUCAGUGGUUAGAAUAACCCAAUAAAUUCUGCAGGGAACUGGGCUGGGACUGGACCAGUGCUGGCAAAGAGUACAAGUGAGAGAUUCACAGAUUCUGAUUGGUUGUUCCAGGAGGAAUAAACGAUGUGAAGCUGGGCUCAGAGAAGGGGUCGCUGUGUUUUAUGAGCCAUUAAAGUUUUAUUCAUCCCUGCACCGAGGCAGCCUUCGGCCAUGGGGUCACCAUGCUUUAAAUAAACUCCCAUCAUUCCUCUCCCCCCACCUCCCCAAUAUCUGCCUUCCCACCCCCUGCUCCCCCAACCCUUUCACCCACAGACUUAAUGGACUGUUUAUUGUUUGAUGUUCAAGUCCGACUUCAUCAUUUUUUCCCUCUCUCGCGCUCUUUCUCUGUUUUCCGCUCUCCACUAGUGUUUAGCGGUAUGGAGGUUUGACUGAUGCGGUUUGUCCGUGUAUUUGUGUUAUAUGUGUGGUUCAUUUUGCGUGUGAGUGCGAGUCCUUGCAUGUAUGGGCUCUGCAUACAUGCAGACUGUCUAUAAAUUCCUUUGGUGUGCCAUGUUUUCCUCUUUAUAACAUCUUCCCUCCACUGUUUCAUGAGUGGAUGCAAGAUUUUACGGCGUGUGUGAAUGUUUAGUUUUUAAAAACGAGGAAAGGAAAGGAAAGGAAACCACACUGUUGCACUAGUGAUGUCCAAUGUCUUCAUUACUUGAUCGUGAGCAUGGCUACCAAUAACCAUUUUAAAGCAAAG
This is a long non-coding RNA of Oreochromis aureus, 885 nucleotides long. RefSeq lists it as uncharacterized. Lineage: Eukaryota; Metazoa; Chordata; Actinopteri; Cichliformes; Cichlidae. The transcript has 3 exons. The record is from RefSeq and is a predicted model, not a curated record.